This 527-nucleotide ribosomal RNA is filed under the name Micrococcaceae bacterium D02. RNAcentral's name for it is "bacterial SSU rRNA". It matches the Rfam family "Bacterial small subunit ribosomal RNA", at positions 77 to 613 of the family's 1533-position model. Lineage: Bacteria; Bacillati; Actinomycetota; Actinomycetes; Micrococcales; Micrococcaceae. RNAcentral also lists the same sequence under 1 other name. The record is from RNAcentral.
AGCUCUCUUGCGGGGUUACCGUAUAACGGUUGAUUAACACGUGAGUAACCUGCCCUUGACUCUGGGAUAACCCUGGGAAACUGGGUCUAAUACCGGAUAUGACUCCUCAUCGCAUGGUGGGGGGUGGAAAGCUUUUGUGGUUUUGGAUGGACUCGCGGCCUAUCAGCUUGUUGGUGGGGUAAUGGCCUACCAAGGCGACGACGGGUAGCCGGCCUGAGAGGGUGACCGGCCACACUGGGACUGAGACACGGCCCAGACUCCUACGGGAGGCAGCAGUGGGGAAUAUUGCACAAUGGGCGCAAGCCUGAUGCAGCGACGCCGCGUGAGGGAUGACGGCCUUCGGGUUGUAAACCUCUUUCAGUAGGGAAGAAGCCUUUCGGGGUGACGGUACUUGCAGAAGAAGCGCCGGCUAACUACGUGCCAGCAGCCGCGGUAAUACGUAGGGCGCAAGCGUUAUCCGGAAUUAUUGGGCGUAAAAGAGCUCGUAGGCGGUUUGUCGCGUCUGCUGUGAAAGACCGGGGCUCAAC